RNAcentral lists this long non-coding RNA (304 nucleotides) under Linum usitatissimum (flax). RNAcentral's name for it is "long non-coding RNA (LUSI_LNC002069)". Lineage: Eukaryota; Viridiplantae; Streptophyta; Magnoliopsida; Malpighiales; Linaceae. The record is from RNAcentral.
AUACAAUAUGCAAGUUUAUUGGAAACUAGCAUCAAUGAUCUGGCUGCUUAAGUCACCUGUUGCCUGUUAGUGGUACUGCAGUAUUCCUCUUUGGUGAUGGUUAAAGAGUGGUUGAUCCAGUGAGAACCUGUUAUUUUUUAGUUUUGCGGGUUUUCGAUGAGCACAUAUUAGCUACUGUUUUGUGUGUCAGUUUGGUGGCUACCUUCUGUGUCUUCACUUUUAAGGAUUUCAGUGCUCAUUGUAGGUUGUUUAGAAUUGCAUUGGUUGUAUUUUCCCGCGAUUUCUAUGCCAGGUGGAAAUUUGU